GACGAACGCUGGCGGCGUGCUUAACACAUGCAAGUCGAACGGAAAGGCCCUGCUUUUGUGGGGUGCUCGAGUGGCGAACGGUUGAGUAACACGUGAUUAACCUGCCCUUGACUUUGGGUUAACUUCAGGAAACUGGGGCUAAUACCGGAUAGGAGCUCCUGCUGCAUGGUGGGGGUUGGAAAGUUUCGGCGGUUGGGGAUGGACUCGCGGCUUAUCAGCUUGUUGGUGGGGUAGUGGCUUACCAAGGCUUUGACGGGUAGCCGGCCUGAGAGGGUGACCGGCCACAUUGGGACUGAGAUACGGCCCAGACUCCUACGGGAGGCAGCAGUGGGGAAUAUUGCACAAUGGGCGGAAGCCUGAUGCAGCAACGCCGCGUGCGGGAUGACGGCCUUCGGGUUGUAAACCGCUUUCGCCUGUGACGAAGCGUGAGUGACGGUAAUGGGUAAAGAAGCACCGGCUAACUACGUG
This 468-nucleotide ribosomal RNA is filed under the name uncultured bacterium. RNAcentral's name for it is "partial 16S ribosomal RNA". It matches the Rfam family "Bacterial small subunit ribosomal RNA", at positions 28 to 507 of the family's 1533-position model. The record is from RNAcentral.